Gallus gallus (chicken) is the source of this 1071-nucleotide long non-coding RNA. NCBI's taxonomy places the organism in Eukaryota, Metazoa, Chordata, Aves, Galliformes, Phasianidae. The record is from Ensembl.
CACGCUGGGAAGCUGGACUUCUAACGCAUUAAAGACCUGAGGUUUUUCAGCAGCCCUGACUUCAUGCUGUGCUGUGAGCCUUGAUGCAGUCCUGCACGCUGAUGGAGGUGAAAAUCAUUCUUCUGAAUGCUUGGGCCCUCAGAUUGUGGUGACCUCGACUUCUCUAACAUCCCAGACAUACCACACUGAGACUCCAGAAGAGUAAUUACUAACACCACAGUCCAGGUUGCAUCCUCUCUGACUGCCUUCUGCCACAUUUCCAUCUUUGCCAAGAACUUCUGAAAAUUCCAGGCACGUGGCGAUCAAGUAAAUCUGCAGAUGACACAAAAGUGGGGGACGCUCCAGUACCAUGGAGACAUGGAGUCAUUGGAGACAGACCAACUUAGGGCCAUGAAGAUGAUGAAGGGUCUGGAACACCCCUCCUCUGAGGAAAGGCUGGAACACGAGGAGGAAGGGGCCCCAGGAGGAUCUCAUCAAUAUCUACAGAUACCUGAAGGGAGGCGACAAAGAAGAUGAAGCCAGACUCAUUUCAGUGGUGCUCAGUGCCAGGAAAAGAGGCAAAAGUGCAAUCAGCGGAGGAGGCGAUGUUAAAGUUUACGCUGUGUUAAGGCUGAAGCGAUUGCAAGGCUCAGAGCUGGUAAAAACCUUGCAUGUUGAGACCUCAUGGGCACCCUUGGUUGAGUGCCAAGAAGAGGGAUGGGAGAUGAACAGAUGAUGCUCUCUAACUGGGAGAUGCCCUUUUGUCUGUGAGUAAACUUGCUUUCCUUCUCAGGUCAGAAAGUGACUUACGUUCCAGGAUGUGUCUCAGCAACUGGGCACUGCCAGAUUUGUGGUUUAACACCAUGCUCUUAAAAGUCCGGGUAUGUUGUCUUCAGAGCUUGUCUGUAAUCAGAAUAUUGCUGAUUUUAUUCCUUCAUUUGAAGUUACUAAAAAGCUAGUCGCUCUAGGAGAUAAGAAAGUUAGAAAGAAAAGACGUGAAUGGGCAAUCCAGGGAAAAUAAUCAGCAAUGACAGAGCUUCAGGAAACAGGAACUCCCCUGGGAAAAUGCCUUUUCAAUCACAUGCAUCUUUU